CAGUCGCCGCGGUAAUACGAAGGGGGCUAGCGUUGCUCGGAAUUACUGGGCGUAAAGGGAGCGUAGGCGGACUGUUUAGUCAGAGGUGAAAGCCCAGGGCUCAACCUUGGAAUUGCCUUUGAUACUGGCAGUCUUGAGUACGGAAGAGGUAUGUGGAACUCCGAGUGUAGAGGUGAAAUUCGUAGAUAUUCGCAAGAACACCAGUGGCGAAGGCGGCUCACUGGCCCGGAACUGACGCUGAGACGCGAAAGCGUGGGGAGCAAACAGGAUUAGAUACCCCUGUAGUCCCUGUCUCUUAUAC
RNAcentral lists this ribosomal RNA (301 nucleotides) under uncultured bacterium. RNAcentral's name for it is "partial 16S ribosomal RNA". It matches the Rfam family "Bacterial small subunit ribosomal RNA", at positions 509 to 807 of the family's 1533-position model. The record is from RNAcentral.